Molecule: ribosomal RNA, 408 nt
Filed under: uncultured bacterium
Lineage: Bacteria
Description: partial 16S ribosomal RNA
Rfam family: Bacterial small subunit ribosomal RNA
Source: RNAcentral
GACGAACGCUGGCGGCGUGCUUAACACAUGCAAGUCGAACGAAGUGGCGAACGGGUGAGUAAUACGUGGGUAACCUGCCCUCCUUUUUGGGAUAAGCCUUGGAAACGGGGUCUAAUACCGAAUAAAGGGGUAUGGGCUCGCGGCCUAUCAGGUUGUUGGUGGGGAGAUGGGCGACCAAGGCGGUGACGGGUCGCCGGCCUGAGAGGGUGACUGGGCACAUUGGGACGGCGAUACCGCCCAGAGUCGGAAGCGGGGGGGAAGUGGGGGAUAUUGCACGAUGGGCGAAAGCCUGAUGCAGCGACGCUGCGGGGGGGAUGAGGGCUUUCGGGUUGUAAAGCUCUUGCGCUAUAGAACGGGUAGGUGGAGAAGAAGCGCCGGCUAACUACGUGCCAGCCGCCGCGGUAAUAC